RNAcentral lists this ribosomal RNA (209 nucleotides) under Devriesia sp. RNAcentral describes it as "partial large subunit ribosomal RNA". Lineage: Eukaryota; Fungi; Ascomycota; Dothideomycetes; Mycosphaerellales; Teratosphaeriaceae. The record is from RNAcentral.
AAGCGCUUGCUACCAGACUUGUUGGCGGUGUUCCGCCGGUCUUCUGACCGGUCUACUCGCCGCUCGCAGGCCAGCGUCGUCUGGGGCCGCCGGAUAAAGGCUUGGGGAAUGUGGCUCCCUCGGGAGUGUUAUAGCCCCUCGCACAAUACGGUGAGUCCCGGGCGAGGUCCGCGCUUCGGCAAGGACGCUGGCGUAAUGGUCGUAAGCGG